RNAcentral lists this ribosomal RNA (497 nucleotides) under uncultured bacterium. Its description in RNAcentral is "partial 16S ribosomal RNA". It matches the Rfam family "Bacterial small subunit ribosomal RNA", at positions 28 to 507 of the family's 1533-position model. The record is from RNAcentral.
GAUGAACGCUGGCGGCGUGCCUAAUACAUGCAAGUCGAGCGAACGUACGAGAAGCUUUCUUCUCUGAUGUUAGCGUCUGACGGGUGAGUAACACGUUGAUAACCUCCCUAUUAAACUGGGAUUCCUUCGGGAAACCGGAGCUAAUACCGGAUAAUAUUUUGCACCGUAUGUUUCAACAGUGUAAUACGGUCUUGCUGUCACUUAUAGAUGGAUCCGCGCUGCAUUAGCUAGUUGGUAAGGUAACGGCUUACCAAGGCAACGAUGCAUAGCCGACCUGAGAGGGUGAUCGGCCACCCUGGAACUGAGACACGGGGCAGAAUCCUAAGGGAGGCAGCAGUAGGGAAUCUUCCGCAAAGGGCGAAAGCCUGAAGGAGAAAAGCCGCGUGAGUGAUGAAGGUCUUCGGAUCGUAAAACACUGUGAUUAGGGAAGAACAUAUGUGUAAGUAAAUGUGAAAAUCUUGACGGUACCUAAUCAGAAAGCCACGGCUAACUACGUG